RNAcentral lists this long non-coding RNA (555 nucleotides) under Struthio camelus australis. RNAcentral describes it as "lncRNA (ENSSCUG00000007323.1)". Lineage: Eukaryota; Metazoa; Chordata; Aves; Struthioniformes; Struthionidae. The record is from RNAcentral.
AUAACGAUAACAGCUGUUUGAUUCCACUUGCCAGCUAUGAGAUCGAAGAACUCUGGAAUCACUUGGGUACUACAGGCAUAAAUGAGGGCAAAAUUUAAACUUUUAUUUUCUGUAAUGUGAUAAUUACAUAUUGAGGGGAAAAUGGUGCAGACUUUGCAAUAAAUUAUUGCUCAACAUAAUCUCCUAUUUCUAAUGAUUUAGUUUAUAUUAUUUUCUGUAUUUGCACUUAUUCUCUAUUGGUUAUUUCCUAGGUGUAUCUCAAGAAGGACAGAAAAUUAAGCAAAAGAAUAGCGUACACUCUGGAUUUUCUUCCUCUAUACAGACUACAGUGACUGAAGUGUUGAAUCCACUCGUAGAACCAGCUUACUGUAAAUACUCAAUUUCAAUAGACUGCCAAAAAGAACUGCAAAAUACUUCAAAGGCAAUAAUUUCAAACUCUAACUUCAAGCUUUCACUGAGAACAUAGAUUCUACAGCAAGGAAAUAAUAGUAAGUAUUUAUGUACAUGUUAUAACUUUUUUUUUUUGAGAUGCUCAAUGUUUGUGACAUUUACUCU